UACGGAGGGUGCAAACGUUGCUCGGAAUUAUUGGGCGUAAAGCGUACGUAGGCGGUCCAGCAAGUCGGGUGUGAAAGCCCUCGGCUUAACCGAGGAAGUGCAUUCGAAACUACUGGACUUGAAUACUGGAGAGGAUCGCGGAAUUCCCGGUGUAGAGGUGAAAUUCGCAGAUAUCGGGAAGAACACCCGUGGCUAAGGCGGCUCUCUAGUACGGUACUGACGCUGAGACGCGAAAGCGUGGGGAGCGAACAGG
RNAcentral lists this ribosomal RNA (253 nucleotides) under uncultured bacterium. Its description in RNAcentral is "partial 16S ribosomal RNA". It matches the Rfam family "Bacterial small subunit ribosomal RNA", at positions 524 to 776 of the family's 1533-position model. The record is from RNAcentral.